Molecule: ribosomal RNA, 442 nt
Filed under: uncultured bacterium
Lineage: Bacteria
Description: partial 16S ribosomal RNA
Rfam family: Bacterial small subunit ribosomal RNA
Source: RNAcentral
CCUACGGGGUGCAGCAGUAGGGAAUCUUUCACAAUGGGCGAAAGCCUGAUGGAGCAACGCCGCGUGCAGGAUGAAGGCCUUCGGGUUGUAAACUGCUUUUAUAAGCGAGAAAUACGUUGGUAACUUAUGAAUAAGCAUCGGUUAACUACGUGCCAGCAGCGGCGGUCUUACGUAGGAUCCGAGCAUUAUCCGGAGUGACUGGGUGUAAAGAGUUGCGUAGGUGGGAUAAUAAGUAGCUAGUGAAAUCUGGUGGCUCAACCAUUCAGACUAUUAGCGAAACUGUUAAGCUCGAGACCGUUAGGGGUAACUGGAAUUUCUGGUGUAGGAGUGAAAUGCGUAGAUAUUAGAAGGAACACCGAUAGCGUAGGCAGGUUGCUGGGACGGUUCUGACGCUAAGGCACGAAAGCGUAGGGAGCAAACGGGAUUAGAUACACCUGUAGUC